Molecule: ribosomal RNA, 1454 nt
Filed under: uncultured bacterium
Lineage: Bacteria
Description: bacterial SSU rRNA
Rfam family: Bacterial small subunit ribosomal RNA
Source: RNAcentral
GAUGAACGCUAGCGAUAGGCCUAACACAUGCAAGUCGAGGGGCAGCAUAAAUGAAGUAGCAAUAUGGAUUUGAUGGCGACCGGCGCACGGGUGAGUAACGCGUAUGCAACCUACCUACGAAAGGGGGAUAGCCUCUCGAAAGAGAGAUUAACACCGCAUAGUAUCUAUUAUCCGCAUGGGUUUUAGAUUAAAUAUUCAUAGUUUGUAGAUGGGCAUGCGUAUGAUUAGCUGGUUGGUGGGGUAACGGCCCACCAAGGCGACGAUCAUUAGGGGUUCUGAGAGGAAGGUCCCCCACACUGGCACUGAGACACGGACCAGACUCCUACGGGAGGCAGCAGUGAGGAAUAUUGGUCAAUGGACGCAAGUCUGAACCAGCCAAAUCGCGUGAAGGAUGACUGCCCUAUGGGUUGUAAACUUCUUUUAUAUGGGAAUAAAGUGCCCUACGAGUUAGGGUUUUGUAUGUACCAUAAGAAUAAGCAUCGGCUAACUCCGUGCCAGCAGCCGCGGUAAUACGGAGGAUGCGAGCGUUAUCCGGAUUUAUUGGGUUUAAAGGGUGCGUAGGUGGGUCUUUAAGUCAGUGGUGAAAGUUUUCGGCUCAACCGGAGAAUUGCCAUUGAAACUGGAGGUCUUGAGUACAAACGAAGUAGGCGGAAUGUGUUGUGUAGCGGUGAAAUGCUUAGAUAUGACACAGAACCCCGAUUGCGAAGGCAGCUUACUAGGAUGUAACUGACACUGAUGCACGAAAGCGUGGGUAUCAAACAGGAUUAGAUACCCUGGUAGUCCACGCAGUAAACGAUAAAUACUAACUGUUUGCGAUAUACGGUAAGCGGUACAGCGAAAGCGUUAAGUAUUCCACCUGGGGAGUACGCCCGCAAGGGUGAAACUCAAAGGAAUUGACGGGGGCCCGCACAAGCGGAGGAACAUGUGGUUUAAUUCGAUGAUACGCGAGGAACCUUACCCGGGCUUGAAAGUUAGUGUUUUACCUGGAAACAGGUAUUCCCUUCGGGGCACGAAACUAGGUGCUGCAUGGUUGUCGUCAGCUCGUGCCGUGAGGUGUCGGCUUAAGUGCCAUAACGAGCGCAACCCCUAUCAUUAGUUGCUAACAGGUGAUGCUGAGGACUCUAGUGAGACUGCCACCGUAAGGUGCGAGGAGGGUGGGGAUGACGUCAAAUCAGCACGGCCCUUACGUCCGGGGCGACACACGUGUUACAAUGGGAGGUACAGAGGGUUGCUACUUGGCGACAAGAUGCCAAUCUCCAAAAACCUCUCUCAGUUCGGAUCGGAGUCUGCAACUCGACUCCGUGAAGCUGGAUUCGCUAGUAAUCGCGCAUCAGCCAUGGCGCGGUGAAUACGUUCCCGGGCCUUGUACACACCGCCCGUCAAGCCAUGGAAGCCGGGGGUACCUAAAGUACGCGAGCGCAAGCAGCGUCCUAGGGUAAAACCGGUAACUGGGG